UUCGGAUUGUAGGCUGCAACUCGCCUACAUGAAGCUGGAAUCGCUAGUAAUCGCGGAUCAGCAUGCCGCGGUGAAUACGUUCCCGGGCCUUGUACACACCGCCCGUCACACCACGAGAGUUUGUAACACCCGAAGUCGGUGGGGUAACCUUUUUGGAGCCAGCCGCCUAAGGUGGGACAGAUGAUUGGGGUGAAGUCGUAACAAGGUAGCCGUAUCGGAAGGUGCGGUUGGAUCACCUCAUAA
This 243-nucleotide ribosomal RNA is filed under the name Bacillus thuringiensis. Its description in RNAcentral is "partial 16S ribosomal RNA". It matches the Rfam family "Bacterial small subunit ribosomal RNA", at positions 1292 to 1533 of the family's 1533-position model. Lineage: Bacteria; Bacillati; Bacillota; Bacilli; Caryophanales; Bacillaceae. The record is from RNAcentral.